CCACUGCUGAGGAGUCCCAUACUAAGACGAAACGGCCGUCCAGUGA
Molecule: non-coding RNA, 46 nt
Filed under: Schistosoma haematobium
Lineage: Eukaryota; Metazoa; Platyhelminthes; Trematoda; Strigeidida; Schistosomatidae
Source: RNAcentral